ACGGGAGGCAGCAGUGGGGAAUAUUGCACAAUGGGCGCAAGCCUGAUGCAGCGAUGCCGCGUGAGGGAAGAAGGUUUUCGGAUUGUAAACCUCUGUCAACAGGGACGAAAAUGACGGUACCUGUGAAGGAAGCUCCGGCUAACUACGUGCCAGCAGCCGCGGUAAUACGUAGGGGGCAAGCGUUAUCCGGAUUUACUGGGUGUAAAGGGAGCGCAGGCGGUUUUUUAAGUCUGAUGUGAAAGCCCGUGGCUCAACUGCGGGACUGCAUUGGAAACUGGAGAACUAGAGUGUCGGAGGGGCAAGUGGAAUUCCUAGUGUAGCGGUGAAAUGCGUAGAUAUUAGGAGGAACACCAGUGGCGAAGGCGGCUUGCUGGACGAUAACUGACGCUGAGGCUCGAAAGCGUGGGGAGCAAACAGGAUUAGAUACCCUGGUA
This 434-nucleotide ribosomal RNA is filed under the name uncultured Lachnospiraceae bacterium. RNAcentral describes it as "partial 16S ribosomal RNA". It matches the Rfam family "Bacterial small subunit ribosomal RNA", at positions 341 to 792 of the family's 1533-position model. Lineage: Bacteria; Bacillati; Bacillota; Clostridia; Lachnospirales; Lachnospiraceae. The record is from RNAcentral.